CAGGCUUAACACAUGCAAGUCGAGGGGCAGCAUGGUCUUAGCUUGCUAAGGCCGAUGGCGACCGGCGCACGGGUGAGUAACACGUAUCCAACCUGCCGUCUACUCUUGGACAGCCUUCUGAAAGGAAGAUUAAUACAAGAUGGCAUCAUGAGUCCGCAUGUUCACAUGAUUAAAGGUAUUCCGGUAGACGAUGGGGAUGCGUUCCAUUAGAUAGUAGGCGGGGUAACGGCCCACCUAGUCUUCGAUGGAUAGGGGUUCUGAGAGGAAGGUCCCCCACAUUGGAACUGAGACACGGUCCAAACUCCUACGGGAGGCAGCAGUGAGGAAUAUUGGUCAAUGGGCGAGAGCCUGAACCAGCCAAGUAGCGUGAAGGAUGACUGCCCUAUGGGUUGUAAACUUCUUUUAUAAAGGAAUAAAGUCGGGUAUGGAUACCCGUUUGCAUGUACUUUAUGAAUAAGGAUCGGCUAACUCCGUGCCAGCAGCCGCGGUAAUACGGAGGAUCCGAGCGUUAUCCGGAUUUAUUGGGUUUAAAGGGAGCGUAGAUGGAUGUUUAAGUCAGUUGUGAAAGUCUGCGGCUCAACCGUAAAAUUGCAGUUGAUACUGGAUAUCUUGAGUGCAGUUGAGGCAGGCGGAAUUCGUGGUGUAGCGGUGAAAUGCUUAGAUAUCACGAAGAACUCCGAUUGCGAAGGCAGCCUGCUAAGCUGCAACUGACAUUGAGGCUCGAAAGUGUGGGUAUCAAACAGGAUUAGAUACCCUGGUAGUCCACACGGUAAACGAUGAAUACUCGCUGUUUGCGAUAUACAGCAAGCGGCCAAGCGAAAGCGUUAAGUAUUCCACCUGGGGAGUACGCCGGCAACGGUGAAACUCAAAGGAAUUGACGGGGGCCCGCACAGGCGGAGGAACAUGUGGUUUAAUUCGAUGAUACGCGAGGAACCUUACCCGGGCUUAAAUUGCAGAUGAAUUACGGUGAAAGCCGUAAGCCGCAAGGCAUCUGUGAAGGUGCUGCAUGGUUGUCGUCAGCUCGUGCCGUGAGGUGUCGGCUUAAGUGCCAUAACGAGCGCAACCCUUGUUGUCAGUUACUAACAGGUUCCGCUGAGGACUCUGACAAGACUGCCAUCGUAAGAUGUGAGGAAGGUGGGGAUGACGUCAAAUCAGCACGGCCCUUACGUCCGGGGCUACACACGUGUUGCAAUGGGGGGUACAGAGGGCCGCUACCACGCGAGUGGAUGCCAAUCCCCAAAACCUCUCUCAGUUCGGACUGGAGUCUGCAACCCGACUCCACGAAACUGGAUUCGCUAGUAAUCGCGCAUCAGCCACGGCGCGGUGAAUACGUUCCCGGGCCUUGUACACACCGCCCGUCAAGCCAUGGGAGCCGGGGGUACCUGAAGUGCGUAACCGCGAGGAGCGCCCUAGGGUAAAACUGGUGACUGGGGC
This 1434-nucleotide ribosomal RNA is filed under the name uncultured organism. RNAcentral's name for it is "16S ribosomal RNA". It matches the Rfam family "Bacterial small subunit ribosomal RNA". The record is from RNAcentral.